This 675-nucleotide ribosomal RNA is filed under the name Triticum aestivum (bread wheat). RNAcentral's name for it is "partial small subunit ribosomal RNA". Lineage: Eukaryota; Viridiplantae; Streptophyta; Magnoliopsida; Poales; Poaceae. The record is from RNAcentral.
AGGUACAAGAUCGCGCUGGGGCUGGGCUCCGCGCUGCGGUACCUCCACACGGAGUGCGAGCAGCGCGUCGUGCACGGGGACAUCAAGCCUGCAAACGUGAUGCUCGACGCGUCGGGCGACGCCAAGCUCGGCGACUUCGGGCUGGCGAGGCUCGUCGACCACGGCGCCGAGCCGCGGACGACGCAGGUGGUGGCGGGCACCGUCGGGUACAUCGACCCGGAGCUCGUCAACGGCCGCAGGCCGAGCGCCGAGUCCGACGUGUACAGCUUCGGCGUCGUGCUCCUGGAGAUCGCCUGCGGCAGGCGGCCGACGUCGAGGGGGCCGGGUCAGGCCUCGGCGGCGCUGCUGGCGUCGGUGCGGGAGAUGUACCGCCGGAACCAGAUCCUUGACGCGGCAGACAGGAGGCUGGGCGGCGGGUUCGACAGGCCGCAGAUGGAGCGUCUGCUCGUGACGGGGCUUUGGUGCGCGCACCACGAUCCGAUGCAGCGGCCGUCGGUGACGCAGGCUGUCGAUGUGCUACGAUCUGAGGACGCGAAGCUGCCGGUGCUUGAAGCGGUGCGCGGUUCUGGGGAGGGCGAGAUUCACUCCUUGGAGGGACAUGCUUAUGGUGAUCUGCCCGCCGAGGACUCUUCUCGUUUGCAUGAAACUGCGUACCCUACUUCUUCCGAGGACUGA